Molecule: long non-coding RNA, 980 nt
Organism: Eurytemora carolleeae
Lineage: Eukaryota; Metazoa; Arthropoda; Copepoda; Calanoida; Temoridae
Exons: 6
Source: RefSeq, a predicted model, not a curated record
GCAAGACAAAGAUUUAGUUCAAUGGAAUAUAACUUGUCUACCAGGAGGUUCCUGGCAAAUACCAGAUCUCUGGCCUAGAUGUUUGCCAUCAAUAAACUGUACGGAACCUCCUCAAAGGCCUCAAUCAGGAACUUGGGAAUGGAAUCACUCAUAUAAAUACCUGACAAAAAUAUUUUACACCUGUGGUCCUUUUGGAAAGUUUAAAACACCUAAUGGAGAGCUAUAUGCUGCCACAACUUCAGUGUGUGCUUGGAAUAAAACCUGGACACCUCCUCUACUGGAUCCUUGUCAAGCAACACAUUGUCAAGAGAUUCCUGCUCCAUCUAGGGAUACAGGUCUUGUCUACCGUCCCGAUCAUAAAAACUCUCUAACAGUUUCAGAAACCAGUCAGUAUAAUCCUGAAAUUCCCGCGAAAUUACCAUUUCCUGGAUCUAGCUUCUGCUCAGCAAAUAUCAAACUUAUGAUUAUUGGAAGCAUUCCCAGCCACGCUAAAUCUAUUCCAGCAAUAUCAAUUGUGGAAAACACUGUCACUGAAGGAUUACAUAUCAAUAUAAAUCUUUAAAAAAAUAUGAUUGAAAGAUACAGUGUUAUCAAUGAAACCAAAUCAGAGGUUGCUGGUGCAACUGGAGAUGGGACAAGUAUAGAUUAUGACGAACCAUUUACUUUAAAUCUGAGCUGUGAUCAAGAUGGCUGGAAUCUUCAAGUUAACACUGAACUUCCAUAUGAUUCUGUUUUACAUGCUGUCCCUUUGGAGAAUUUAACUUUGAUCAAAGUAACUGGUGAUAUAGUCAUUAAUUUCAUUGGGAUUGGAGGCAAAGACUUGAGUCCUGCUCCUCCAAUUGGGUUUAAUAUAACCUAUGUUUGUCCCCCUGGAGAAGUGUUUGAUUCAGAUUGGUUUGCUACACCAUUUGUUUUGACAACAUGUCAGGAAUCUGGCUCUUUUGAUUCAGUUAAAUGGUCUGACUAUAAUUGUGUAUUAC